AGAGUUUGAUCCUGGCUCAGGAUGAACGCUGGCGGCGUGCUUAACACAUGCAAGUCGAACGGAAAGGCCCUUGCUUGCAGGGGUACUCGAGUGGCGAACGGGUGAGUAACACGUGGGUGAUCUGCCCUGCACUUCGGGAUAAGCCUGGGAAACUGGGUCUAAUACCGGAUAGGACGAUGGUUUGGAUGCCAUUGUGGAAAGUUUUUCGGUGUGGGAUGAGCUCGCGGCCUAUCAGCUUGUUGGUGGGGUAAUGGCCUACCAAGGCGUCGACGGGUAGCCGGCCUGAGAGGGUGUACGGCCACAUUGGGACUGAGAUACGGCCCAGACUCCUACGGGAGGCAGCAGUGGGGAAUAUUGCACAAUGGGCGCAAGCCUGAUGCAGCGACGCCGCGUGGGGGAUGACGGCCUUCGGGUUGUAAACUCCUUUCGUCAGGGACGAAGCGAAAGUGACGGUACCUGGAUAAGAAGCACCGGCUAACUACGUGCCAGCAGCCGCGGUAAUACGUAGGGUGCGAGCGUUGUCCGGAAUUACUGGGCGUAAAGAGCUCGUAGGUGGUUUGUCGCGUCGUUUGUGGGAUACCGCAGCUUAACUGCGGGGUUGCAGGCGAUACGGGCAUAACUUGAGUGCUGUAGGGGAGACUGGAAUUCCUGGUGUAGCGGUGGAAUGCGCAGAUAUCAGGAGGAACACCGAUGGCGAAGGCAGGUCUCUGGGCAGUAACUGACGCUGAGGAGCGAAAGCAUGGGUAGCGAACAGGAUUAGAUACCCUGGUAGUCAAGGGCGAAUUCGUUUAA
Molecule: ribosomal RNA, 792 nt
Filed under: uncultured bacterium
Lineage: Bacteria
Description: bacterial SSU rRNA
Rfam family: Bacterial small subunit ribosomal RNA
Source: RNAcentral